RNAcentral lists this unclassified non-coding RNA (329 nucleotides) under soil metagenome. RNAcentral's name for it is "partial contains 5.8S ribosomal RNA, internal transcribed spacer 2, and large subunit ribosomal RNA". The stretch from base 1 to 120 matches the Rfam family "5.8S ribosomal RNA", at positions 35 to 154 of the family's 154-position model. The record is from RNAcentral.
GAUGAAGAACGUAGCGAAAUGCGAUAAGUAAUGUGAAUUGCAGAAUUCAGUGAAUCAUCGAAUCUUUGAACGCACAUUGCGCCCCCUGGUAUUCCGGGGGGCAUGCCUGUCCGAGCGUCAUUACAACCCUCAAGCUCAGCUUGGUGUUGGGCCCCGCCGCCCCGGCGGGCCCUAAAGUCAGUGGCGGUGCCGUCCGGCUCCGAGCGUAGUAAUUCUUCUCGCUCUGGAGGUCCGGUCGUGUGCUCGCCAGCAACCCCCAAUUUUUUUCAGGUUGACCUCGGAUCAGGUAGGGAUACACGCUGAACUUAAGCAUAUCAAUAAGCGGAGGA